Non-coding RNA from Lepisosteus oculatus (spotted gar), 419 nucleotides. Lineage: Eukaryota; Metazoa; Chordata; Actinopteri; Semionotiformes; Lepisosteidae. The record is from RefSeq and is a predicted model, not a curated record.
UCGCUUCGACUUUUUUUUUUUUCGCUUUUUUAAAAUUCUCAGAACGGGUCGCUAUUUCUAAAAAGAAAAACCCGCACGAUAUCUGUUUUCAGAUGUAGAAGCGUCCAAAAAUAAAUUGUAUGCUACUGUAUAUCUGGUCACUGCUGUGACAAGACAAAUUUAAUGUUGCAGCGUUAUAGAGUCUUUUGCGUUUUCAUCUGACAGCCACCAUCCAGCACAGUGUUAUCUUUCCCAGGAACUCUACAAACAGCCUUAGGUUUCUACAGCUCUUGGAGACCGGAUUCGUGCAGGCUGUGUGAUUGACCCAGUCCGGAAAGCAGGUAAGUGCAGCACAGCUUGGAGAACAGGGAAUGGUUCCUGCUGCUGACUGACACCGCACUGAGCACCGUGGGGGGCGGGGGGGUUGGUAGGAGGGGACU